GGUAAUGCCAGACGCCCAUGGAUGCCUCUGAGGAGCCGCUGCCGCCGGUGAUCUACACCAUGGAGAACAAGCCCAUCGUCACCUGUGCUGGAGAUCAGAAUUUAUUUACCUCUGUUUAUCCAACGCUCUCUCAGCAGCUUCCAAAAGAACUAAUGGAAUGGAGAAGGACCUAUGGCCGGGCUCCCAAGAUGAUUCACCUAGAGUCUAACUUUGUUCAGUUCAAAGAGGAGCUGCUGCCCAAAGAAGGAAACAAAGCUCUGCUCACAUUUCCUUUCCUCCAUAUUUACUGGACAGAGUGCUGUGAUACUCAAGUGUAUAAAGCUACAGUAAAAGAUGACCUCACCAAGUAGCAGAAUGUUCUGAAGGCUCACAGCUCUGUGGACUGGUUAAUAGUGAUAGUUGAAAAUGAUGCCAAGAAAUAAAAUCAAAUCCACAUCCUUCCCCAAACCUCUAUUGUGGACAAAAUAAGAAAUGACUUUUGUAAUAAACAGAGUGACAGGUGUGUUGUGCUCUCCGACCCCAUGAAGGACUCUUCUCGAACUCAGGAAUCCUGGAAUGCCAUCCUGACCAAACUCAGGACACUGCUUCUUAUGUCUUUUACCAAGAACCUAGGCAAGUUUGAGGAUGACAUGAGAACCUUGAGGGAGAAGAGGACUGAGCCAGGCUGGAGCUUUUGUGAGUAUUUCAUGGUUCAGGAGGAGCUUGCCUUUGUUUUCGAGAUGCUGCAGCAGUUCAAGGACACCCUGGUGCAAUACAACGAGCUGGACGCCCUCUUCUCUCAGUAUGUUGUCAACUCUGGGGCCAGGGACGGUGCCAACUGGCUGACUUUUUUCUGCCAGCCAGUGAAGAGCUGGAAUGGAUUGAUCCUCUGAAAGUCGAUAGAUAUGGAGAAGCGGGAAUCGAUCCAGAGGUAAGAAGCCACCCUGUUAGAUCUGCGCAGUUACCUGUUCUCUCGCCAGUGCACCCUGUUGCUCUUCCUGCAGAGGCCGUAGCGGGGUGGCCCAGUGCGCCCUAGAGCUGCUGCACAACUGUGUGCAGGAACUGAAGCUCUUAGAAGUCUCUGUCCCACCUGGUGCUCUGGACUGCUCGGUGUUUCUGAGCUAUCUGGAGGUGUUGCAGAGGCUAGAAGGCUGCUGUGACUGGGCACAGAUCGACUCAAACAUUGCCCACGCAGUGGAGCUGUAGAGCUAUGCCACAGAAAAGUUAAAGUCCUUGGACUAUCUGUGUGGACUUGUGUCAGAGAAAGGACCGAACUCAGAAGAUCUCAACAGGACGGUGGACCUUUUGGCAGGUUUGGGAGCUGAGCGGCAGGUAGGAGGAGGGAAGGAUCAGAACUCCUUCUGUGCCUUGGGAUACUGGAGCUGGGGGACAGGGAGGCCCAUCAGCUGGAGCCACAUGAAACAGACUGAGGAAAGCUGAGACCCAGCUGUGAGGAGGGCCUCACUGGUGAGGCUUAUUAGGGAUAAAUGUUUCUGGAACCCUGUGGUCCCCCAUGAUGUUGAUGGAAUAUCACAUGCACUGGGAAUUAAAUAUGUAUUUAAUUUAAUUAUCAUUAUAUAUGUGGGGUUAAUAUGUGGGUUUUUUGUUCCCUUUAAAGUCUUUACAUGUAAUUAUAGAUGUAUAAACAUUAUUUUUCUUCUGUACCUUAAGUCUUAGAAAUUAAGAUAUUCCAUUGUAAGUGAGGAUGAGAGAGGUCCUCAGUGUAUUUUUAGUCUGGUUGUGGGGAAGGACUCAGUUCCUGGAAUGUCCUCUGCUGGUCUCCUGAGUUGCAGUCACACUGUUCCAAUGGAUUAUUUACUUUUGGUUGUAAAUUUAAUUGUACAUAUGGUUGAUUUAUUAUUUUUAAAAGUACAGACUACCUGAUGUAAUGUUUAUAAGUUGCACCAAAAAUCAAGGAUAAAAAUAAGUGUGUUUGUUUUUACAGGUGUGAAAGUCACAACUUGUAAAUAAUUGUUGUAUGUAUUAAACCUUUUCCAGCUCUCCAAAG
Callithrix jacchus (white-tufted-ear marmoset) is the source of this 1987-nucleotide non-coding RNA. NCBI's taxonomy places the organism in Eukaryota, Metazoa, Chordata, Mammalia, Primates, Cebidae. The record is from RefSeq and is a predicted model, not a curated record.